Molecule: ribosomal RNA, 682 nt
Filed under: uncultured bacterium
Lineage: Bacteria
Description: bacterial SSU rRNA
Rfam family: Bacterial small subunit ribosomal RNA
Source: RNAcentral
GGCGAACGGGUGAGUAAUAUAUCGGAACGUGCCCAGUCGUGGGGGAUAACGCAGCGAAAGCUGUGCUAAUACCGCAUACGAUCUCUGGAUGAAAGCGGGGGACUCGCAAGAGCCUCGCGCGAUUGGAGCGGCCGAUAUCAGAUUAGCUAGUUGGUGGGGUAAAAGCCCACCAAGGCGACGAUCUGUAGCUGGUCUGAGAGGACGACCAGCCACACUGGAACUGAGACACGGUCCAGACUCCUACGGGAGGCAGCAGUGGGGAAUUUUGGACAAUGGGCGCAAGCCUGAUCCAGCAAUGCCGCGUGCAGGAUGAAGGCCUUCGGGUUGUAAACUGCUUUUGUACGGAACGAAACGGUCCUUUCUAAUACGAGGGGCUAAUGACGGUACCGUAAGAAUAAGCACCGGCUAACUACGUGCCAGCAGCCGCGGUAAUACGUAGGGUGCGAGCGUUAAUCGGAAUUACUGGGCGUAAAGCGUGCGCAGGCGGUGAUGUAAGACAGAUGUGAAAUCCCCGGGCUCAACCUGGGACCUGCAUUUGUGACUGCAUCGCUAGAGUACGGUAGAGGGGGAUGGAAUUCCGCGUGUAGCAGUGAAAUGCGUAGAUAUGCGGAGGAACACCGAUGGCGAAGGCAAUCCCCUGGACCUGUACUGACGCUCAUGCACGAAAGCGUGGGGAGCAAAC